ACGCUGGCGGCAGGCCUAACACAUGCAAGUCGAGCGGAAACGAGAAGUAGCUUGCUACUUCGGCGUCGAGCGGCGGACGGGUGAGUAAUGCCUAGGAAGUUGCCCAGUAGAGGGGGAUAACCAUUGGAAACGAUGGCUAAUACCGCAUAAUCUCUUUGGAGCAAAGCAGGGGACCUUCGGGCCUUGUGCUAUUGGAUACGCCUAGGUGGGAUUAGCUAGUUGGUGAGGUAAUGGCUCACCAAGGCGACGAUCCCUAGCUGGUCUGAGAGGAUGAUCAGCCACACUGGAACUGAGACACGGUCCAGACUCCUACGGGAGGCAGCAGUGGGGAAUAUUGCACAAUGGGCGAAAGCCUGAUGCAGCCAUGCCGCGUGUAUGAAGAAGGCCUUCGGGUUGUAAAGUACUUUCAGUCGUGAGGAAGGGGGUAAGCUUAAUACGCUUAUCUCUUGACGUUAGCGACAGAAGAAGCACCGGCUAACUCCGUGCCAGCAGCCGCGGUAAUACGGAGGGUGCGAGCGUUAAUCGGAAUUACUGGGCGUAAAGCGCAUGCAGGUGGUUCAAUAAGUCAGAUGUGAAAGCCCGGGGCUCAACCUCGGAACUGCAUUUGAAACUGUUGGACUAGAGUACUGUAGAGGGGGGUAGAAUUUCAGGUGUAGCGGUGAAAUGCGUAGAGAUCUGAAGGAAUACCAGUGGCGAAGGCGGCCCCCUGGACA
Molecule: ribosomal RNA, 713 nt
Filed under: Vibrio sp. 1C01
Lineage: Bacteria; Pseudomonadati; Pseudomonadota; Gammaproteobacteria; Vibrionales; Vibrionaceae
Also listed under: 2 other names
Description: bacterial SSU rRNA
Rfam family: Bacterial small subunit ribosomal RNA
Source: RNAcentral